Molecule: long non-coding RNA, 533 nt
Organism: Ochlerotatus camptorhynchus
Lineage: Eukaryota; Metazoa; Arthropoda; Insecta; Diptera; Culicidae
Exons: 3
Source: RefSeq, a predicted model, not a curated record
UGUAUGAUCGUUAACAGUCGGAUUCAACGCGUGAUUGCGAGUAGUUCGUCUCGCUGUCUAUUGUGUGUUUGGUAAAAGGUGAAAAACCGGACUAUUGCUGCCAUUGUAUGAUGUAUGAUGCACCCUGGGAUGAUGAUCAUUGCUACUAGUUUACCAAAAACCACGAAAUCGAUGAUGACAAAUUUGUACCAGAUGGCAUGAUUUGGUCACUCUAUGUAUGCUAAUUUCGUGGUUUUUUGGUGAAAUACCAACGUCGUGCUUCGCCGGAGAAGAGGAUAUAGGCCUGAUCCAAAAACCUGUCGUUUGGAAUUCGUUCCGAAGCGAUCAGUUCGUUGACCUGGAACACGAAGUCGGAGACAUCCAUUCCAUGAGAGUCUCCACUAAACUGAAUACCCCAUCUAUCUAAGCGAUAAUGUUGGAAUCGGUCAUCUCGACGACUGUGAACUGUGGAAAUUGAGCUGCUCUGGGACUCGGAAUCGGAACUUGUCUCCGAUGAGAGUAAGCUGCUCAACGAAUCUAAGGAUGAGCUUUCG